Molecule: ribosomal RNA, 373 nt
Filed under: uncultured organism
Description: bacterial SSU rRNA
Rfam family: Bacterial small subunit ribosomal RNA
Source: RNAcentral
CGGGGGAGCAAGCGUUGUUCGGAUUUACUGGGCGUAAAGGGCGCGUAGGCGGCCAGCACAAGUCAGUUGUGAAAUCUCCGGGCUUAACUCGGAAAGGUCAACUGAUACUGUGCGGCUAGAGUGCAGAAGGGGCAACUGGAAUUCUCGGUGUAGCGGUGAAAUGCGUAGAUAUCGAGAGGAACACCUGCGGCGAAGGCGGGUUGCUGGGCUGACACUGACGCUGAUGCGCGAAAGCCAGGGGAGCGAACGGGAUUAGAUACCCCGGUAGUCCUGGCCUUAAACGAUGGAUGCUUGGUGUCUGGAGUUUUAUAGUCUCCGGGUGCCGUAGCUAACGCGUUGAGAAUCCCGCCUGGGGAGUACGGUCGCAAGACUG